RNAcentral lists this ribosomal RNA (380 nucleotides) under uncultured eukaryote. RNAcentral describes it as "partial 18S ribosomal RNA". It matches the Rfam family "Eukaryotic small subunit ribosomal RNA", at positions 592 to 976 of the family's 1831-position model. The record is from RNAcentral.
CAAUAGCGUAUAUUAAAGUUGUUGCAGUUAAAAAGCUCGUAGUUGGAUUUGUGGCGUACGGUGUGUUCCGGGCACUUGUUGUCUGAGUAACCUGCUGUUGCCAUCCUUGGGUGGAACCUGUGUGGCAUUAGGUUGUCGUGCAGGGGAUGCCCAUCAUUUACUGUGAAAAAAUUAGAGUGUUCAAAGCAGGCUUAUGCCGUUGAAUAUAUUAGCAUGGAAUAAUGAGAUAGGACUUUUUUGCUAUUUUGUUGGUUUGCGCAAAGAGGUAAUGAUUAAUAGGGACAGUUGGGGGUAUUCGUAUUCCAUUGUCAGAGGUGAAAUUCUUGGAUUUUUGGAAGACGAACUACUGCGAAAGCAUUUACCAAGGAUGUUUUCAUGAA